RNAcentral lists this ribosomal RNA (518 nucleotides) under uncultured bacterium. Its description in RNAcentral is "bacterial SSU rRNA". It matches the Rfam family "Bacterial small subunit ribosomal RNA", at positions 374 to 882 of the family's 1533-position model. The record is from RNAcentral.
GACGAAAGUCUGACGGAGCAACGCCGCGUGAGUGAAGAAGGUUUUCGGAUCGUAAAGCUCUGUCUUCAGGGACGAAUGUGCUUAAUGUGAAUAAUGUUAAGUAAUGACGGUACCUGAGGAGGAAGCCACGGCUAACUACGUGCCAGCAGCCGCGGUAAUACGUAGGUGGCAAGCGUUGUCCGGAAUUAUUGGGCGUAAAGCGCGCGCAGGCGGGAAUGUAAGUCUGUCUUAAAAGUUCGGGGCUCAACCCCGUGAUGGGAUGGAAACUACAUUUCUUGAGUGCAGGAGAGGAAAGUGGAAUUCCUAGUGUAGCGGUGAAAUGCGUAGAUAUUAGGAGGAACACCAGUGGCGAAGGCGACUUUCUGGACUGUGUCUGACGCUGAGGCGCGAAAGCCAGGGGAGUGAACGGGAUUAGAUACCCCGGUAAUCCUGGCCGUAAACGAUGGGUACUAGGUGUAGGAGGUAUCGACCCCUUCUGUGCCGGAGUUAACGCAAUAAGUACCCCGCCUGGGGGAGUA